This 492-nucleotide ribosomal RNA is filed under the name uncultured bacterium. RNAcentral's name for it is "partial 16S ribosomal RNA". It matches the Rfam family "Bacterial small subunit ribosomal RNA", at positions 29 to 507 of the family's 1533-position model. The record is from RNAcentral.
AGUGAACGCUGGCGGUAGGCCUAACACAUGCAAGUCGAACGGCAGCACAGUAAGAGCUUGCUCUUACGGGUGGCGAGUGGCGGACGGGUGAGGAAUACAUCGGAAUCUACUUUUUCGUGGGGGAUAACGUAGGGAAACUUACGCUAAUACCGCAUACGACCUACGGGUGAAAGCAGGGGAUCUUCGGACCUUGCGCGAUUGAAUGAGCCGAUGUCGGAUUAGCUAGUUGGCGGGGUAAAGGCCCACCAAGGCGACGAUCGGUAGCUGGUCUGAGAGGCUGAUCAGCGACACUGGAAGUGAGACACGGUCCAGACUCCUACGGGAGGCACCAGUGGGGAAUAUUGGACAAUGGGCGCAAGCCUGAUCCAGCCAUACCGCGUGGGUGAAGAAGGCCUUCGGGUUGUAAAGCCCUUUUGUUGGGAAAGAAAAGCAGCAGGUUAAUACCCCGCUGUUCUGACGGUACCCAAAGAAUAAGCACCGGCUAACUUCGUG